GUGGGGAAUAUUGGACAAUGGGGGGAACCCUGAUCCAGCCAUGCCGCGUGUGUGAAGAAGGCCUUUUGGUUGUAAAGCACUUUAAGCGAGGAGGAGGCUACCGAGAUUAAUACUCUUGGAUAGUGGACGUUACUCGCAGAAUAAGCACCGGCUAACUCUGUGCCAGCAGCCGCGGUAAUACAGAGGGUGCAAGCGUUAAUCGGAUUUACUUGGCGUAAAGCGCGCGUAGGUGGCCAAUUAAGUCAAAUGUGAAAUCCCCGAGCUUAACUUGGGAAUUGCAUUCGAUACUGGUUGGCUAGAGUAUGGGAGAGGAUGGUAGAAUUCCAGGUGUAGCGGUGAAAUGCGUAGAGAUCUGGAGGAAUACCGAUGGCGAAGGCAGCCAUCUGGCCUAAUACUGACACUGAGGUGCGAAAGCAUGGGGAGCAAACAGGAUUAGAAACCCCUGUAGUCC
RNAcentral lists this ribosomal RNA (451 nucleotides) under uncultured bacterium. RNAcentral's name for it is "partial 16S ribosomal RNA". It matches the Rfam family "Bacterial small subunit ribosomal RNA", at positions 354 to 796 of the family's 1533-position model. The record is from RNAcentral.